CUUCCGCUUAUACCACAGAGAUUUUCCAACAUUACAGUGUUGUGUUAAAUUGCCCCGUGUGUGUGUGUGUGUGUGUGUGUGUGUGUGUGUGUGUGGGGGACCCUGUGAUGGACCAGCAUCCUGUACAGGGUGUGUUCCUGCCUCACGCCCAUAAUAGACUUCGAGUGCACCCUGACACUGACUUCGAUAAUGCGCUUCCUGAUGAUGAAUUAAUGACUUAUGACAACCACCCGAAUUAAUAAUUCUGUCUCUCUCUGUGUCUGUCUCUCUUUCUCUAGCUCGUUCUGUCUCUCUCUGUCUCCCUCUGUCUCUGUGUGUCUCUCUCUUGCUCUGUGUCUGUCUCUCUCUUUCUCUAGCUCUUUCUGUCUCUCUGUCUCCCUCUGUCUCUGUCUCUCUCGCUCUCUCUCUGUGUCUCUCUCUGUGUGUCUCUCUCUCUCGCUCUGUGUCUGUGUCUCUCUUUCUCUAGCUCUUUCUGUCUCUCUCUGUCUCCCUCUGUCUCUGUGUGUCUCUCUCUCACUCUGUGUCUGUGUCUCUCUUUCUCUAGCUCUUUCUGUCUCUCUCUGUCUCCCUCUGUCUCUGUGUCUCUCUCUCUCGCUCUGUGUCUCUUUCUCUAGCUCUUUCUGUCUCUCUCUGUCUCCCUCUGUGUCUGUGUGUCUCUCUCUCGCUCUGUGUCUCUCUAGCUCUCUCUGUCUCUCUCUGUCUCCCUCUGUCUCUGUGUCUCUCUCUCUCGCUCUGUGUCUGUGUCUCUCUUUCUCUAGCUCUUUCUGUCUCUCUCUGUCUCCCUCUGUCUCUGUGUCUCUUUCUGUCUCUCUCUGUCUCCCUCUGUGUCUGUGUCUCUCUCUCUCGCUCUGUGUCUCUUUCUCUAGCUCUUUCUGUCUCUCUCUGUCUCCCUCUGUGUCUGUGUGUCUCUCUCUCGCUCUGUGUCUGUGUCUCCUCUUUCUCUAGCUCUUUCUGUCUCCCUCUGUCUCUGUGUCUCUCUCGCUCUCUCUCUGUGUCUCUCUCUCACUCACUCUCUCUAUCUUUUUCUCUCUCUCGCUGUCUCCCUUUGUCUCUCUCUCUCUCUCUCUGUCUCUCUCUCUCUCUGUCUGUCUCCCUCUCUCUCUCUCUCUCUCUCUCUCUCUCUCUCUCUCUCUCUCUCUCUCUCUCUCUCUCUCUCUCUCUCUCUCUCUCUCUUU
Long non-coding RNA from Ictalurus punctatus (channel catfish), 1175 nucleotides. The record is from Ensembl. NCBI's taxonomy places the organism in Eukaryota, Metazoa, Chordata, Actinopteri, Siluriformes, Ictaluridae.